GACGUAGGGCGCGAGCGUUUGUCCGGAUUUAUUGGGCGUAAAGAGCUCGUAGGCGGUUCAUUGCGUCAAUCGUGAAAUCCUGUGGCUCAACUACAGGCUUGCGGUUGAUACGGGUGGGCUGGAGUUCGGGAGAGGGAUGCGGAAUUCCAGGUGUAGCGGUGAAAUGCGUAGAUAUCUGGAGGAACACCGGUGGCGAAGGCGGCAUCCUGGACCGAUACUGACGCUGAGGAGCGAAAGCCAGGGGAGCAAACGGG
This 254-nucleotide ribosomal RNA is filed under the name uncultured bacterium. RNAcentral describes it as "partial 16S ribosomal RNA". It matches the Rfam family "Bacterial small subunit ribosomal RNA", at positions 524 to 776 of the family's 1533-position model. The record is from RNAcentral.